ACCAAGAAGCAAGUUGUGGAGGAAAGGGUUUAUUCAGCUUACACUUCCAUACUGCUGUUCAUCACCAAGGAAGUCUGGACUGGAACUCAAGCAGGUCAGGAAGCAGGAGCAAAGCCCACGGAGGAAUGUUACUGGCUUGCUCAGUGUGUUUUCCUGUAGAAUCCAGAACAGCCCAGGAAUGGCACCACUCACAAUGGGCCCUCCUACCCUUGAUCACUAAUUGAGAAAAUGCCUUACAGCUGGAUCUCAUGGACACAUUUCCACAAGGGAGGCUCCUUUUUCUGUGAUAACUCCAGCUUGUUGACACACAAACCUAGCCGGUACAGGGGAUAUGAUCUUGCUUGGAGACUUAAGGAAAUCUAGAAGACAGAUGUCAAUACUUAAGACAUCAAAUCACAUAAACAAUAACAGAUAUAGUCAAUUGUCAUGAUUAAGAUUAGCACUUAAAAUGGCAAGGCCAUGAUUGUGUGCUAACGAUGUUAGUGAAUGAUUAAACAAGGCAGAAUCAGACAGAUUUAAUUUAUGCUUACAAAUGUUAGUGAAUUGAGGACACAUUGUUCUUGUGCUGUUGCCAAAAUAUUGAGUGUGAUUAGGUCUUGUGAUAUAGCCACCUUCAUCUUAAGUUUUGAGUUUAAAAAAUGAGAUGCUAAACUAAAAACCAUUUAAAAUACUGAAAGCAAUGUGUCUUUUCUUCUUAUAGGGAUACAGAGUCUUGUUCUGUUGUUCAGGCUAGCUUCAGGGCUUGAUUCAACUCAGUGAUAUCCAGCCUCAGCCUUUGGUAUAGAUGGGGCCACAGGCAUGUGCCUCCAUGCCCACUUUUGGAUUUUUUUCCAUUCUAGAGUUGUCUAAACACCUCAUUCUAGAAGAAUGAGUCUUUACAAAGAAGGAGAAGUGUCAGGUCAUCUAGGACUGGACUCUCUGGAGCCACAAGAAACCUCUUUCACAAGCUAUCCCAGGUGUUGCUCUUGUGGAAAGCUGUCCAAGACUUAAAAUCAGGAAGUGUGGAUUCAAGGGCUGCUUUUCAACAGCAUAGUUAAGAUAUAGAUAUUCAUCUCUUAAUUUGUUUCUGUUAUUCCUCACACUUCAGAUUCACCUUGUUCAAUGCCAUUAUGAUCAUAGACACCAGCAGUAUAUUUUGUCACUGUUUUUUUUUUUUUAGGUCAACUAUGUAGUCUAGGCUUGACCUUGAAUUCCUGAUCUCUUGAAAACCUCCUGGGGCAGAAAUUACACAUGCACACUAACAUCGACUGUAACAGCAUCUUUUGUUUGCAAGGAACCCGUAACUGAUAAACGUGUGCUUAAGCAUUUGAAGAGUUGAGUGUGACUAGUUGUAGGGUAACAUUGGCCCCCUGGCUCAUGCCUCACUUGGCAUCCCCUGAUCUACAGUCUAGGAGGGAAGUCAUCCCCUUUAGCACAGACAGGAGGAUUUUUACCAAAGGCCACGAGGCUUCUUGCAUUGAGCAAAUGGUCACCUCAAAGCAACUGCUUUUUUUCUUUAUUUUAGCAGCUUUACCUUCUAAGUACAGAGGUUUCUUCCCACUUCCUGUUUGUUCCCUUGUUUGGACAGAUGCAAGAUUUUGGUCUCAGGACUCAGAGCUUUGUUUUAGAUGAAGAGAGGCUUCAGAAAUCUCUUGGGUAGGGAAUCCUUGUGUUAGGAGACUCUAGCUUUGCCUAAAUAAUAUUUCCAGCUCCACAACUACUCAGACACUUCUAGAACUUGGAAAUCUUUGUCACUUCGGAUGGCAGGCUCCCACACCCCCAAAUCACUUAAUUGACUCUUCUUGCCCAUGUACGACACUAAUGGAAGUUUAGUCCUGCCUUAUAGGAAAGCCUGCCACCAGGGCAGGAGGAUUCUCUCAGGUUGUAGCUGCUGCUUCCCACAGCAAAAAUCUGCACGAAAAAAAUUCACCAUUCCAUCUUCUAGAUGAAUGUUGCUUUCAAGGUGAUCUACAGGAAUGGACCCAUUUUUUGCUUUGCUACAUGGAUCCAGAUGUUUUGUCUCCUGACAGUUUGCUCUCUAAACAGCAUAGUAUGCAAACUGACCAGCAUAUUUGAGUAUGCUGAGUAACCUGAUUAGCUAAACCAACAGACUUACUUCUAGACAAUAGAAAAUCGUGGAGUACUGCAGGGAUUGCCUUACAAAUCUCUCAUGAAUUUAAAAAAAAAUACCUUGAAUGUACCGUGUAAUAAAGAUUAUUGGAUAAAUAAAACUGCCAGUGGCCAAAACCUC
This 2230-nucleotide long non-coding RNA is filed under the name Mus musculus (house mouse). Its description in RNAcentral is "long non-coding RNA chr6:116335232-116337462". Lineage: Eukaryota; Metazoa; Chordata; Mammalia; Rodentia; Muridae. The record is from RNAcentral.